CGUAGGGUGCGAGCGUUGUCCGGAAUUACUGGGCGUAAAGAGCUCGUAGGUGGUUUGUCGCGUUGUUCGUGAAAACCGGGGGCUUAACCCUCGGCGUGCGGGCGAUACGGGCAGACUUGAGUACUGCAGGGGAGACUGGAAUUCCUGGUGUAGCGGUGGAAUGCGCAGAUAUCAGGAGGAACACCGGUGGCGAAGGCGGGUCUCUGGGCAGUAACUGACGCUGAGGAGCGAAAGCGUGGGGAGCGAACAGG
Molecule: ribosomal RNA, 251 nt
Filed under: uncultured bacterium
Lineage: Bacteria
Description: partial 16S ribosomal RNA
Rfam family: Bacterial small subunit ribosomal RNA
Source: RNAcentral